Manihot esculenta (cassava) is the source of this 575-nucleotide long non-coding RNA. RefSeq lists it as uncharacterized. The transcript has 4 exons. NCBI's taxonomy places the organism in Eukaryota, Viridiplantae, Streptophyta, Magnoliopsida, Malpighiales, Euphorbiaceae. The record is from RefSeq and is a predicted model, not a curated record.
AAAUAUUUCAUUUUGGCCCUUUUCAAAUGUUACCAGGCCUUCACGCGCGCGCUCUCCAUCUCUCAUUCCCGAAGCAACGCUAGCUCUCUUUGCAACGACCACUCAAACCAUUCAUUCACUGCUUCUUGCAAAUUCUCAUGUCGUAUCUCAUGAUUCGUUUUCUACGAAUCUAUAAUUUCGAUUUCAAAUGUCAGCAGUAUUGGAUUUCUACCUGACAGAAAAUUUCCAAAGAUCGUUGCAAUCAAGAAACUAACCCUUCGAGUGGAUAUGAUUAGACAUUUUCCUUUGCAAGUCAUCAUGGGAGCAGCUGGAUAUACACACAGCAAGUUGUGUCAUGAAAGUCGUUCCAUGCCAUUUGUUUCUGGUGAAGAAGAUCUCUGUUGUGGUUCACAUUACUGUAGUCCUUCGCUAGUGAUUCACUGCCGUCAUGUCCAGUCGCUGAUCUCUACUGUGGUUUACGUUGAUUCAUCGGCCAAGCAGAUCCAUCUUUGCUAGUCUUCUGCAUUCAGCAUUGUUGUUCGGACCCGAGGAACCGAGGACCCCAACAGUGAGAUAGCUGCUUUCGAGUCUUGUCA